UAAACGGCCGCGGUAACCUGACCGUGCUAAGGUAGCAUAAUAAUUUGCCUCUUAAUUAGUGGCUAGAAUGAACGGACUCACGAGAGCUAAGCUGUCUCUUUUCCACAACUAAAAACUAACUUCCAGGCGAAAAGGCCUGAAUAACUCUAUAGGACAAGAAGACCCUGUCAAGCUUUACUAGCCUAAUCUACACCCAAUAUUUCCAAUAAAAUUAUUAGAUUUCUCUCUAGUUUAGUUGGGGCGACUGGGGACCAAAACUAGCGUCCCCCACUUACUUUAAGGGUAAUAACCCUAAUAAAAUGAUCCUUAAAAAGACCAAGAGAUAAGCUACUGCAGGGAUAACAGGCUAAUUUUCCCCAAGAGCUCAAAUCGAAGGGAAAGUUGGCACCUCGAUGUUGGCUUAAGACAUCCAUAAAGUGCAGCAGCUUUAAACGGUGGGUUUGUUCAACCCUUAAAGUCUUACGUGAUCUGAGU
RNAcentral lists this ribosomal RNA (474 nucleotides) under Orbinia cf. swani. RNAcentral's name for it is "partial 16S ribosomal RNA". It matches the Rfam family "Bacterial large subunit ribosomal RNA", at positions 1924 to 2610 of the family's 2925-position model. Lineage: Eukaryota; Metazoa; Annelida; Polychaeta; Orbiniidae. The record is from RNAcentral.